CAAAGCUUCUUCAUCACUUGCACCAGCUUUUCUCCGCUUCUUCAAAUUCUCGUCUAAACCAAGUUCCAUAGACAAUUCCUCCGCUUCCUGAGCUUCGCGUUCUGCAGCCUUGGCUCUCCGUUUACGUUUUUUUUCGUUGGGAGCAAAUCUCUUGUACUUUGAAAUUUUCCCAUCCUUAAUAGCAUUGUUUAUAACUUGCCGAAAACGGUCCUCAUCAGAAAUUUCACAGCACAUAACUUCUUCAAGAAUUACAUCCAUAGAUCCUUUUCCUUUUUCAUAAGCUUUCAAAACAUCACAUUUUUCCUCUUCAGAAUAUUGAUAGGAUGCUUUGAAUUCGUUAAGUGUCUCACCGGAAACAACACCUUGGUAUAAUUCGUCAAGCCACUCUUUCCAGUCGAAAUCAAUAUCAGCAUCGGUUUCACGUAAUUGUCCUGUUUUAUCGUAAUGUUUCCUUCUUUUUUUAUCACUUAGUACACCAUAAGCAAUUGCAACUUUAUCAAAUUCAAUCCUUGCUUCUACUUUCUUUUCCUCAUCGUGUAUUCGAUCAGGAUGAUGCUGAAGUGCCUUCUUUCGGUAAGCUCGUCGAAUUAGUUCGUCUGAUGCAUCUUUUUCUACACCCAAAACGCUAUAAGGAUCGAUGUCCAUUUUUAUGAAACUAUAGGUUAAUGGAAGAAGGGAAAACUGACAUUCAUCUUUAAUAUAGCAUAGAUUGAGUAAACCAGCCAUUCGAA
Non-coding RNA from Schizosaccharomyces pombe (fission yeast), 731 nucleotides. NCBI's taxonomy places the organism in Eukaryota, Fungi, Ascomycota, Schizosaccharomycetes, Schizosaccharomycetales, Schizosaccharomycetaceae. The record is from the annotation of a GenBank genome assembly.